UCUGAAGAUGAGCACUCAGAUAAUAAUGUCCCUCAAGUUCAAUUUUUUUUACUGCAGCCUCUUUCCAUUGAUUGACAGCUUAAAUUAGGGAGAUAUUCGUAUCCAAUUCUUUUUGGAAGAAGUCAGUCCCAGCUUGCUGUCAGUGAACGGCUCAUUGUUCCCAACACUAAUUCCACAACUACUUAGAGUUGUAGCCGUUCUAGAAUUUGGUAGGGUUUAUUUAAUGUACUGACUUAAGUGCAUUUUGUUAAAACAUAUUUCAAGGCUAGGAAUCGAUCAUCCUUAGGCGAAUCUCUUUGUGCUCUGAGGGAAUCACUGGAUUAAUGGAUAGAAAAUAAUAUCGGUGCUUGGAUUCUAUCAGGACAUCUGUCAGUUUUAUCAUCCCGCUCCAGGUUCAGCAUUUCAAUGAGAAGGACAUCAGGAACAUAUAAGAAAGAUGCGGCAGCAAGGAAAUGUUCCAAGGCAGAGAGUCACAAAAAAUGAAGGAUUUUAUUGCUUUGCUUUUUUGUUUCAGCAGCAGUUCACAGGAAGGCAGAACCCAGAUCUGACAUCCUGUUCUGACACAUUAACCACUGAAAGAUUUGGAGAAUCAGACUGGUGAUCACAUGACUGUACUACUGUAAUGAAAGCCGAAUAACAAGCACACGGUGAAAUCUCUUCAGGAAAUAAACAGCAGGAAAUGAUAUAAUACGGAUAUGUAUCUCUUCAGUUAUUUCACACUUCAAGUUAGACUUUGAUUACAUCUUCUGCUUUCAAAACAGGAGUCUUUGGUUCUUAAUAAAUGUUGCCUUGGAGCAAAACAGCAAAAUGAUAAGUUUAUAGCUAGAGAUAAAGAUGAGAUCAAUGUGUCGGUCAAAUU
Long non-coding RNA from Hyla sarda, 859 nucleotides. RefSeq lists it as uncharacterized. The record is from RefSeq and is a predicted model, not a curated record. The transcript is spliced from 3 exons. Lineage: Eukaryota; Metazoa; Chordata; Amphibia; Anura; Hylidae.